GAGUGGUACGUAAGAUUUUGUUGCUCGGUUUUUUCGAAUCCUGCUUCUUUUGCAGUGUUCUAAUACGCCGUAAACAAACUUUGCAGGGGCUUAAAAGCUUCAACAAGGCUGCACGGGAUCUCCUUCAACGACUUCAAAAGAUCGAUGGUGACAAUUAUCCCGAGGUAGUCAUUACUUCAUAUGGUCAUGAAACAUUUUUUUUAAGUCAUGAUGAAGCUUAAUUAAAUGGCUUACCAAUGUUUUUGCAGACUCUGAACCGGAUGUUUAUCAUCAAUGCCGGCUCGGGAUUUAGGCUCUUAUGGGGCACGGUUAAAUCUUUCCUCGACCCGAAGACCACUGCAAAAAUCCAUGUAAGUAUGAAUCAACCGAAUUCAGUUCUCAAUACAUAAUGUUGCUAACACAACUUUAUGGUAUAUACUUUUCAUCAGGUUUUGGGUAACAAAUACCAGAGCAAAUUGCUUGAAGUAAUUGAUGCUAAGUGAGUAUCUCUUAAUAAGUAUAUAUGUGUUUCAGUCUCUCUCUCUCUCUCUCUCUAUAUAUAUAUAUAUAUAUGUAAAUAUUUGUUUGGUUGCGGUUUUUAAACAGUGAACUACCGGAGUUUUUGGGUGGUAAUUGUACUUGUUCCAACAAAGGUGGUUGCAUGUUGUCCGAUAAGGGUCCAUGGAAUGAUCUCGAAAUAUUGAAGGUAUUGGCUAUAUUAUCUCGAAUAGGAUGAGUAUGGUAUAUGAAUACGUGUCUAACAUAUGUAUAACUUCACUGCAUAAGCAGAGGGUUCAAAAUGGUGAGGCCAAGUGCAUGAGGAGGAACACGUCUGGGGUCGACGACAAAGCAUGCCUAGAGGUAUUUUCACUACUAGGAAAAGGAAAUUUCGAUUUUCAAUCAUCAAUGCCUAACUUUUUUUUCUUUACAUUUGAUGUUGCAAAACCGAAGAUGAGUCACUCAUUCAACGUGGAAACAGCUACAGGCACGGGUGAAAGGAUUGCCGAAAACACACCUUUAUCACCUGUUGCCGAAGUAAGUGGCACUCCUUAUCAUGCCAUGUCUGAAAAUGCAUUGCAUUCAUGUUUCAUGAUGCAUUUCUUUAUGUAUUUGUAGU
RNAcentral lists this long non-coding RNA (1096 nucleotides) under Gossypium raimondii (Peruvian cotton). Its description in RNAcentral is "long non-coding RNA (GRAI_LNC004253)". The record is from RNAcentral. Lineage: Eukaryota; Viridiplantae; Streptophyta; Magnoliopsida; Malvales; Malvaceae.